AAAACCCUACUAUGUACGUGAACUACCGAUUAUGUUUUGAGCCAACACCAAAACAUAGGGAGUUCGGCUCUGAAUGUGGCUUGUAGGCCUCCAUUGAGUGGAAACAUAAAGCAUUCAGGAGAACACCCACCUGCGCGAGCAGGUUCAAAACGGUCGGUCACACGGCAUUGGUGGGGUAUUC
Molecule: non-coding RNA, 181 nt
Filed under: Clostridia bacterium
Lineage: Bacteria; Bacillati; Bacillota; Clostridia
Description: 6S RNA
Rfam family: 6S / SsrS RNA
About the family: E. coli 6S RNA was the first non coding RNA to be sequenced, but its function was unknown until recently. It consists of 184 nucleotides that fold into an extended hairpin structure with a large single-stranded internal bulge.
Source: RNAcentral